Molecule: non-coding RNA, 101 nt
Organism: Pelobates cultripes (western spadefoot toad)
Lineage: Eukaryota; Metazoa; Chordata; Amphibia; Anura; Pelobatidae
Source: the annotation of a GenBank genome assembly
UUAAAACAAGGAAGUGGAGACAAUGUUUCGGCUCCUCUCUGAGCCUUUAUCGAGUUUGUCUCAGAGAGGAGCUGAAACGGUGUCUCCACUUCCUUGUUACA